UUUUUUUUUAUGUUUUCAAUAGUUUUUGAGUUUGUGUAAAUGAGUAGAAAUUGAUGUAUAAGUUAGGAAAUGAGUAGAAAUUGGAUGAUUGAUAGUUUAGACAUAGUAUAAAACAUGAUAGUUAGUUGAAAAUGAUUAUCAAGGUUGUAUUUUUUCGUUUCCAUGUCUGCAUUGUCACCAUUGACGUGGCUUCUGGGUUGCAGAAAAUUUCGGAGAUGGAUCUUCGAAAUUUUUCAACGUUUUAUUUUCCCAGCAACCUGAGAUGCAUCUACAGAAUUUUCUCUUUUAUUUUUUUGUUUGUUUUUGUUGCUUGUGGUGUUGUAUGCUUGCACUAAUUGUCUGCUUUACUUUAACUUAUAGGUAUAAUGGAUGAUAGGCAUGAUCGACUGAGGCACAAGAGGUUUGCACAACUUGCAUCAGUGUGGUGGGAGAAGAGUCAGAAGGUUUCAGAGGCUCAUGGUCCCUCUGUCCAUGCAGAGCCAUCUACUUCUAGGGUUCAUGCUUCUCCAUCUUGUUCUUCCCAUAGAAGACGAGUUUCACCUACCGACACAUCACUCCCUCCAUCCUUCUGUAGGCGUCGGGUUUCACCUAUUCAAGCGCCUGAGGUACCCGAGUCACCAGUGGUACCCAAGGAACCACUUCCACCUCCUACUGUUGAUGGUGUUGAUCUAGUGCCAGCUCUAGAGGGUGAGGUUGUUGCGGUUGCUAAGCCAAAGGAAUUUGAAGGAGGCCUGUAGAUUUAUCACUAUUGCUUAUGUACCCAGACCAUACUGCCAAACAUAUAUGGGACUGAGAGGUAGCAUUUGUUAGAUUCAUUCUUUUUAAAUUACGUUUAUUUUAAUUAACAAGUUUGUGACAUUGAUUUUUUUCAAGACUGUGAUCCGCUGAAGUUUAUUAACCACAUGCGGAAGAUUACUAGCUUGUCUCAACUGAAUGAGGAUUGGUUUCAGGUUAUUUUAUCCUUAUCUAUCCUGAAGGACUUGUGCAUGACUAGUUAUGUUACGAGUAACUAUGAGAUGCUUAAUGCAUUCGUGGAGACAUGACACUCGAAUACCUCAUCAUUUCACCUCUCACUUGGUAAGAUGUUUAUCACACUCGAUGAUGUGUCGUGUUUGCUACAUCUUCCGAUCAGGCGGAGACUCCUAGAUCAUGGAAGGAUUAGAAAAGACGAGGCACUCGAGAUGAUGGUAGAUUAUCUAGGGGCUGACCCAGGGGAGGCGAUGCAGGAGUUGGAUAGGACCAGUGGGCUCAUGCUAGAUUUAAAAACCUAAAAAAAGGUAUAUACAUAUGAGCUCUAGAGAGCAUAUAAGGCUAUAGGUGAUGAAGAGCAGGUGGGGCUCCACCAAGCACAUGCUUUGAGAGCAUACCUGCUAUAUUUGGUUGGCACUGUUAUUUUUUAUGGACAAGAGUGCCACUUAUAUAGAUGUCUUCUACCUACAGUACUUCCAAGAUUUCGAGCAGAUCCAUGAGUACAACUGAGGGGGCGCUUAUUUGGUUUGUAAGAACAAUAUUUGGUUCUACAUCUGACCUUUAGUUUUGAUGAUAAUAAUGCAUUGCUUCUUAGAGAACAAUUUUGUACACUAAUGGUUUUUAUCUAGUAUGUAGCUUUUGCUAGCAGGUUCUAACUCUGAAGCAUCGACGUGUGAUGUCAUCAGAUUCUGGAAUCAACACACUCUAACUCUGAAGAGAUACAAGUGCUUUACAAGAUGUUGUCAAGUUCUAGAAAGCUCUUAAACAACGAUUCUGAUGAACGUUUGUGCUAAAACUUCUUACUGUGACUUUGAUUGAAGAGCCCAUGAAGGACUUUCAUCCUUCAUGACUCUACUCUCAAGUUCUGAAGAUUUUGAAGAACAAGAUUUGAAGACUCUAAAGACCAAGUUCUGAGGAACUGUGUCAAGACUCUGAAGACCGGAGUUCUGGAGAUUUUGUCAACUAGUAUCUUGAUCCUUUUAAGCAUGCUUUAACAUCAUUUCAUCAGAAGCCUCUGAAUAUUAGAAGAUAAAAUCAAAAGGUUUUGUGUCAGAAAAAUAGUACACAAUACAAGAUCACCCUUUCCUCUACUAUGCUGAUUUUGUGGGCUAAGGAUAAUACUAUUGUACUAUUUUGUCUCCUAUAUACAAACCAUUACACAAAAAGACAAAUGCAAUUUUCUAUUCCAAUUCUACCCUCUAACUGAUCUUUUAACUUCCUAUAUAAAGGAGACUUGGAAGAUUGGAAGAGGCUGCUAAUGCUAGUUCUUAAUUCACUGUGCAAUAAUACGCUCAUACACACGCUGUUUUGCUGAAGUAUAUAUUUUAUGUGUAUAGUCUUUGUAAACACACAAGAGUUGUUGCUCAUUAUUAUGUGAGAUAUUCAUUGUAUUAAUUUGGUGCUAAUAUGUUUUCUUAGAAGCAAUACUUGUAAACACACCUUGUAAAUCUCAAAUUUGUUUGUGCGGUUUCCUUUAGUGACUAGGUUUUAGUUAGAUAGACUCAAGAAGACAAAGAUAAUUUGUCUUUGUGGUGUCUGUAAUCAGUUUCAGUUAUAGUGGAUUAUCUCCUUGUUGAGAAGGCGGAAUCACAUUGGUAGGGUGGACUGGAGGUAGCUUCGUUAAAAACGAACCAGUAUAAAAAUAACUUUGUUACUUUUCUUGUUCGAUUGAGUUGAUUUUGAAAAAACUUUUAUUUUUAAAAACUCAAUUCACACCCACUUUCUUGUGUUUAUUGUCACCUUCAUGGUUUACUUAUACUCAAAGUUAUCAGAGGGUUGUAGGUGGAAGACGAAGCAAGUCACAUGCAACAUCACACUACUCACUGUAAUAUUUAUUGGACUUUUAAUCUUUUUGUAUCAUUUUCAUUUUAUCUUUACAAUACCAUUGCUUAUGAUUCGUGUGUUCCAAACUUUUCAGGCUUGAAUCUUCCAACACUUCCCGUGCAUCUUCGACUGGGUGAGUGUAUCGAAUUACACUGAAGAUAUCUUGCGUGCUACUACAUUUGCCCAUCUCAGAGGGAACUAGGUGACUGAUCCGUUCAAAGUGUAUCUUGACUGCUUGGUUACCGACCAUAUGCACUUCAAUAGCUAUGUCGAUCACUGUGAGACACAACCAUUUGAUAAGAUAAUACUAUACUCUUGAUGGUUGGCUUGCAUAUCACUUCUCACUGCUCCCCAUUUUCCCGAGUGCAUCAUGCGGCAGUUCAGCUACACUCAGACGAUUUCCUAAACACCCUAUUGUCUCUAUUCCUCCUGUUUUGACAGAUGUAUGACAUGUUUGAUGAUUAUGAGAGUCAUAUGGUACCGAAGAAGGCACUGAGUACCAUAGCACUGAGCGAUUGGAGCUAUGUGGGCGGGUACAUAAGGUGGUUCUUUAGGGUGUCAGAUUUUUCGUAUAUGGUGCAUGCUGCUCCAGGAGACCCACCUAGGCCAGCUCAUCAAGAGAUACUAGAGAAGGAGCAGGAACCGUUAGAUCAUGUUGAGGAUGUCUGGCCUAGACGUUGUUGCAUUAUAGAGAUUGUGCAGGCAUGCAUUGACAGAGGUAUCUUCUCUGAUGGGUGUGAUGUGAGACAGGUCCUAUAUGCCAUAAUGACGGAGGCAUGAGGGGCAUUGAUAUACUGAAGAUAACACCGGUGGACGGAGGAUUGAUGGUCGAGGAGGAAGAGGGGAUGCAUUCUGACAUACACAGUAGUAUAUUAGUAUAUAAUAGUAAUACUAUGGAUUGUAUUCUAUUUUAAUAUCAUGCUUCUUUAUCGUUGUUCUCUACUUUUUUGCCAUUUAUUCAUCUUUUAUUUAUAUAUGAUAUUUUUGAACCAUCUUAAUCUAUGCACAUCAUUCUUUGUAUAUCAGUUGUAUGGUUUAAAUCUCGUCACAUAACAUGAUACACAAUACUUAUAAAUCUUCAUCUGAAUACGCGUAAACAAAACAUAACAUGAAACAUGUUAUUCUAAUAUGUUACAGAGAUGUAACUUUUGAAAAGAAACGGAGAUGCAUCUCCAGAAUAUUUUAACGAUCAAUCAUAAUUGGUGCACCCGUAAAUGCAUAUCCAAAAUUCAGGGACAAUUAAAUAUUUUAGCAUGAUGGCUAAGAAACAUAUAGGGUUCAUUAAGAAAUCCCCUUUUAUAAUGGGUAAGCCCUUAAGUACACCGUAAAGAGAAGGUUGUGAACUUAUAAAAAUAAAAAAAGAAUUUAUUUUUCAUAUGCAUACCGACGACAUUUUUACCUGUCACUCUACAUUUAAACCUGGCACCCCCGAAAUGAUGUGCUUUACUAUAUUACCCUUGCCUAUUAAAAACUCAUUUCACUAUCCAUUUUUAACAUUUUGAAUUUUUCAAAAAGUUGUGCGUCUUACCGUAAUUUUUUAGUCAACUACCAAUUUUUUCCAAGUAUGUAUACAAUGUUACCAAUAACUUUAGUUUUAUACCAUUUUUUUAAAAAGUGCAUUUUUAUCGGAAUUUUAAAAUGUUCGGUAAAAACUCAUGUUUCUCAUGCAUUUUUACCAUAUAUUUUUAAAAUUCUGGUAAAAAUGCAUGUGUUUGAUUGGAUAUUUUGAAAAAUUCGAUAAAAUUGCCUGCAUUUCUACUGGUUAUUUUGAAAGUUUUGGCAAAAUUACAUACAGACAUACUAGAUUUUCCAAAAAAAAAUACUGGUAGAAGAAACUUUUGAGAUGGUUAACUGAAUAUUUCGAAAAAUCCAGGAAACCAUGUUGAUUUCUGAAUUUUUAAAAAAUAUGGUAGAUUAUAUUUCAUCAUUUUUUCCCUUGAAGAAUAAAGGAUCAGACAGGAUGAUUGUGUCUAGGCAACGUGACAAAGCUGCAAAUAGGGUUCGUGUGAGGGAAGAUAACAUCGAGGACUACUAUGUUCGAGCGAGAAGAGUAGCACCGAGUGAUUCUCACAAGAGGCAGCUUGCCAAUUAUAUGAGUUUAUUUUAGGUUUAUAAAUUUAUUAUUUCUUACUAUCUUCAUUCCUUUAUAUAAGAGACAAUUCAUUUUUUAAGUUCAUUGAAUAACUAAUGUAUUUAGUCGGUUUAUAUACUAGAUACACUGAUUAUUCAAUGAAUCCAAAAAGUGAGUUGUCUUUUAUAUAAAGGAACAAAGUUAGUAUUAAUUUAGUUCUUAUUUAUGAAAUUUGUUAAUUUUCCUAGGUUCUUGUGUAGUGUUGGAUAUACAAGCAUUUCCCAUCCAUUUGUGAGAGGCGGGUUAUUCCUACCACAACUGGCUUCACACAGGCCAAGAGAUGGAAGGCCAGACAUGCACACCCAAAUGGUAUUUUGGAGUACAUGAAAAGAAUUAAUAUGUUGACUAUAAAUGAUGUCAUCAUAACACUCCACACAGACCAUAUAGUGCAUCUGGAGUUUGAUGACACUUCCCUUUUUCUGGUAAUCUGCCAUGGAAGACCUUAGUGGCUAGACACUUACUUGAGAGGUGUAUGCGUUAGUUUGGGUAUGUCCAGGACAUCCCACAACCAUUCCUUGUUCCAUCUGAGGGCAUUGAUAGAUGGCUUAUGGGUAAUGUUGUUAGCUCUGCCCAUACCAUUGCAGAUCAUGCAGUGGAGGCGUAAUUCCCUGUGUUAUGUAUGAAUGGCUACUUAGAGUGGUACCUUACUGUAUCACACUCUCAUAUCAUUCCACCAAUUAAGCAUGUAGAUGGUGUUAGACCUUCUUAUGUUGGGGGGUCUUUUGAUGACGUGCCACGACCUCCACCUAUGUGGAUGACCAGUAGAGUAUAUAAAUGAUGACAUUCAUUAUGGAUAACCUCAUGGGUUUUGUAAACCUAGAUGAUGAGGUUUAUACUUUUGUAUUGCAUACAACACACAUAGCCCGUGGGGGACUUGUGUAGACAUUAUUAUUACUUUUUUUAUUAUUUGUAUAUUAUUUGUAUUAUUAUUUGUAUUAUUUUCACCGUGCAAUUAUUCGAUAACACUUCAUCACUUUCAUUAUGAUGGGAUUAACAUAACUUAACACUUGACAAUUAACAUAACCUAACAGAUGACAAUUGACAUAACUUAACACAGACAAUUACAUAACUUAAAAAAACAAUAAUAAAUAACAAAAGUUAGACACUAUAGAUGAUUCUGGAUGUUUCAAUAUCUUAAUUAUAUCAUCGACAGAUCUAGUGAUUGUCGCAUCAACUCGACUGAUCCCUUUGUUAGCCUGUGAUGAAAUGUUCUCCAUAUAACCUUCAAAUCUUCAUUAAUCUCCAACUCAAUUUUUUGUAUUUCACAUUUCCUUUAGUGUGAAUCCAUGGUGCACGAAACUUGAUCUUACCCACCUUUCCGUUCUCGGCGAGAGGUAGCAGAUUAACUAAUAAGGAUCUUAGAACAACGAUAGUGGUGGUGUCCUUGGGUAGCUAAAAAUCAAUAAGAGACUUCACACCGUUGAAGGACACAACUGCCAUAACAAAUAUUGAGACAUUAUAAGAUGUUUUUUUAACAACACAUGAUCCAUAUUUAUACAAUUUUGGAUUCAUUAUGGAUAACAGACAAUUUUCAGUGCAAUCACAAUCAUACAAAACUGUCGUCAAAAUCUCAACCGUUGAAAAUUACACUACCAGGUUUUUUGAAGCCCUUCUAAAAGUCUGGUAAAUGCACAAGAUUUUUUAAAAAUCGAUGAUUUUACACUACCAUAUUUUUCAACUUUUUGGAAAAAAAAUUGAUACGCAAUGGUGUUUUCUAAAAAAUUGACAUGUUUUUGCAUCCACCGUUUUUUUAACUUGUAAAAAUGCAUUACCAGAUUUUUCUACUCAUGCGGGAUUUUAAACUUGUAUACCGAAUUUUUGUGCGCUCUUGAUAACCCACAUUUUGUGAGUUAUUACAUACCUUAAUCUUUCUUUAUUACUAGUUAAAUUUCUCUUUAGUUGAAUUUUGUUAGCUCAUUUAAGAUGUUUUUAUAGUAAUUUGCUUGGGUAUGUGCUCCUUUUAUUUGUUUUGAUGUGUUUUUUCUUGAUUUAAGGGUUGCUCUGUCGAGUUGAGGAAAGACUGUAGUGGACAGUGCAUGGGAGUGCAAACUGAAGCAAAAAGAUGAACUCGAUUAAGGGAGAAAAAUAGAGAAGACAGAUGGGUUCCUAGGGUAAACAUGGAAGGAUUGAUGCAUUAGAGGUAUCAAGACUCUUAAAGGAGAAACAAGAAUCUUAUUGAAUUCUUUAGCAAGAGGUAUUAUGCUAAAAAUAUCUGAUAUGGAGGUAUAUGAGUUGAUCGAGACUAUGGCCUAGAAUGAGUAUCAUGCAAUAUCAGACAGAUAUGUUAGAAGAAGAAGGAAAUUUUUUGACACUUAAAACACAUUCUUAGAAAGCUACAAACAAAUAAAAGCACAAUUGGAUUCCCUGACCAAACAACUAACAGGUCCCCAAAGGGGAUUUGAUCAAGUAAAGUAGAUAUAACAAUCUCUAAUUUGUAAUUACUGUGAUGAUGGUCAUGAUAAUGGCCAAUACACAUUAGAAGUAUUCCCCGAUGAAGAAGCUAAUUUCAUGCGGAAAUUUUAAAGAAAUAAUCAUUUCUCUACAAACAAUCCUGCAUGAAGAAACCACCUGAAUUUCAGAUGGAGUGACAAUCAAGGUCAAGGUUUGAAUCAAGCCCAAUAAUUAACAACAACAACAACACGAAGAUCAGUCUCAAAAACAUAAAUAGGCAAGAAAAUAUUUUCAAAUUAAGGAUGCCUUGAGCCAGUUCGUACAAGUUACAAAGGACUAUUUUAAAAACAUGCAGCUUGGCCAAGAAACUUCAAAUAAGAAUAAUGAACUGUCAAUAAAUAAAUUGGAAACACAAAUUGACUAAUUAUCCAAACAAAAUGCAGCUAUGUCUACCAACAAAUAUGAAGGGAAUACAAUGGGUAAUUCCAAUAAAAAUAAGAUAUGUUAUGUUAUAAUUUUGAGAAAAAGUAUGUUUUCUAAAAUGGAAAAAUGUUCUGCAUUACCAUAAAAAUCAUUAGAUAAGAUUGAUGUUAAAAUGGAAUGUAGGGUUGGAGAGGAAGAAAAAAUAGUGAGCAGAGUUGAAAAAGGCGAGGAAAAGAAAAAAGAGUGUGGAGUGACAAGAGUGAUUAGGGAAGAUAAAAUUAAAGAGAAAUAAAUUACAACUCUUAUAUAGCUAAUGUGUCCACCACUAAAGAAAAAGGAUCCUACAGAAAGCCAAUACAAAAAACAAUCCUUGAACUAUUCAACAAUAUACAUAUAAACAUCCAUUUUUCAGAAGCAUUUCAACAAAUUUCAGAAUAUGCGAGUAAUUAUAAAGAGCUUCUAACAAAAGUUAGAAUUCUUAUAAGUAAAUAAAAAUUAACCUAUAAUAAGGGUGCAAUGCUAUCAACCAAAGGAAGCUUCCACGAAAGUUACCAUAUCCAAAAAGCUUUAUUAUUUCUUGUAUCAUAGGAAACCUACAUAUUCCAUGAUCAUUAAGUGAUUUAGGGAAAGUGUCACUUUGACAUUUCUCUCAAUAAUAAAGAAAUUGGGUGAAGAAGAAAAGUCAACUAACAUGAAGCUAACAUUGGUAACCAUGUCAUAUAUAUUCUCUCAUGGGAUAAUAGAGAAUGCGAUAUACUCAAAAUGUGGAACUUUAUUUACCUAGUUGGAUUUUUAUUUCUUGAUAAUGAAGAAGAAGCAGAGAUCUAUAUAACUUUGGGUAGGCCUUUUCUAUGAAUUGCGAGAGCUAAUUUUAAUUUAGAAACAGGCGAGAUCAGACCAAAAUUUUGAAAAGAGAAUAUUAUCAUUAAAUUGUAUGAUGGUUUGAAAUAAUGUGAAGAAGGUCCAACAUAGUGUAAUGUAAAAAUGAAACAAAAAUAAAAGUUUUAAAAAAUAUCCCCCAUUUUCAACUAGAGAAAAGGAGAAAUAAAAACGGAUUUACAAUAUUUACCCACUAAAGGAAGAAGAGGAAGAUAGCAUCAAUGGUGAAACAUCAAUUCAAAAUAGGGAUAUAUUUAGAGUUAAAAAGGCAUGGUUUUAAAAGAUAAAGAAGCAAAGAAUUGAGAUGAAUCAGAUAUCCCAUAAUGGAUAAAUCUUCCAUACCUAGUUGCACCAAAGAAAAAAGCUAAACUAGGAAUUAUUGUAUGAAGAAACGAGAAUAUUGAUGGUAGGAAUAAAUGGAAGUACUAUUCCUAACUAGUGAGGUGAGACAUCAAGCUAAUGACGUAAAAUUAGCGUUGGGUGGGAGGCAACCCUUCAAACAAUAUUUUUUUAAAAUUUUUUGUCAUGUUGAUUUAGAGUAAACCAAAUUUUUGAGAAAAUUAACAUAUAAGUAAGUUUUGGGAAGAAUUGAGAAUUGGAUGAAAAUUUCCAAAAAAAAAACGUGGUUUUAGUAAGAAUAGUUUCAUUCUACAAGCUAGAAACUUUGAUUAGGAUACUUUAUCUGAUCACCCCCAUUGCACUUGAAAAUCUUAAAUCUAGAAGGUGGAAGUCAUAUAAUGAAAUUUUGGGGGAAAUGACCAACCUCGCCAUUGGGUCUAACUUCUAUGCAAAAAUGUAUGAAUCCAAUAGAGACCAAAAAUAUUUUGUGCGAGGAAAGGUGGUUGAUUAUAUCGUUAGCACUAUUAAUAGAGUCUUUCGACUUAAAGAGCCUUGUGUGUGUGUGUGUAUGUGUACGUGUGUGCGUCUGUGUGUGUAUACGUCUGUGUGUGUACGUAUGUGUGUGUAUGUGCGCGUGUGUGUGUGGGGGGGGGGCUGUGUACGCGUCUGUGUGCAUGUCUGUGUGUGUGGUGUGUGUGUGUGUGUGGUACGCGCGUGUGCAUGCGUGUGUCUCUGUGUGUGUGUGUGUGUUGCGCGCGUGUGCAUGUGUGUGGUGUAUGUGCACCGUGUGUAUGUGUGUGUGUGUGUGUGGGGGUGCGUGUAUGUGUGUGCGCGUGUGCGUGUGUUUAUGUGCGUGCGCGUGUGUGCGUUUGUGAGUGUGUGUGUGUGUGUACGUGUGUGUUGUGUGUCUGUGUGCGCGUCUGUGUGUGCGUGUAGUGUUGUGUGUGCAUUUGUGCGUGCGUGUGUGUGUGUGUGUGUGUGUGUGUGUGUGUGUGUGUGUGUGUGUGUGUGUGUGUGUGUGAGAGAGAGAGAGAGAGAGUUGAAUAUACAUGAGCAUGAUUGAGAUCUUUUGAUUUAUCCAUAUUGAGGUAUGAGAAUAGAAGUAGAAAUUGAUAAGGAUCAUGAAAGUACUCUUGUGAGUAGCAUCAAACUUAGAUAUUAUCAUCAAAGCAGGUAAAUUCUUAUGUUUUUCUUAAAAAUAUCAAUUUUCAAGCUUUUUCUUUGAGGGCAAGAAAUUGUUCAAGUUUGGAAUUGUGAUGACAGUUCGCUACAACAUGUUUUUAGUAUGGUUUAGAUUCAAUUUAUGUGCUUUUUCUUUUAAUUUGUUUUUUUAGGAUUUAAUCAAUAUUCCAAAAAAAUAUGGAAAAGAGCAAUUCAAGUUGAAAUUAUUCUAAGCAGACAAAUUCUAUGGUAUUUAUUGUGGAUGUUAUGCUGAAAAAAUAAGGAGAUGACUCACAUGUAAGAAACGGAAGAAAAAGAAAAGAAAUUUCUAGAAACACAAGAAACAUAUUACGACUAUUCAACGGAGCAAUAUGAUUCGAACUUUGAAAGAAAAAAAAUCAGCAUAAGAAUAAAUUUUCCUCGCCCAUAGUAUAACAUCACUUUCACAAAGCAAGAACAACUCGUUUAAUUAGAUAACGAAAUGCCAUGUCAGACACAUAGUUAAAAUCGCGGCGAGCCCUUAGGGCAUAUAAGCAUGAUUAUGCAAUCAUAUUUCUAAAUAUAGUAACAUAUGCUUAGUCAUUAGGGUUCUGAAUUUUAUGAUAAAGAAUGCAUAUUCUGAAGCAAGUGAGUAUGGAAAAAUGCAAGCUAUCAUUGAUGAAUCAUCCCAAAUUAUUUGUAAGGAUAAUUUCUCUCUUUCUAUUGGAUUGGUCAUGAAUCACAUAAGAAAGAGUGACUAGUUUUCUUAUAUUAGAUCCCUUUAAAUGAAUUUUCCCCUAAUAAUGUGAAUGAUGCGAUACAUUUAGAUUUACUCUCUAUAAUGAAACUCUUCUUAUAGAUAUUCAAUGUUAUUUUGUGUAUAAUGUUUUCUUGCGUCUACGAUAUUGGGGAAUUGAUAUAGAUAGAAAUGAUUUCAAUGAUAAAUUUAUCAUAAUUAAAUAAUGUUGUAGGGUUGUUUAUGAUUGCUAGACAUAGAGCAUACCAGUUGUGACAUUAGGUAUUUUACGUUCGAUCAGACCUUCAUCGGUUGUGAAUUUCCCCAAGGACAUUGGAGGAGAUUGUAAUCACACGAAGCAAGUUACACAAUGAUGAAAUUGUUCGUAACUAUUUUUUAAAAUAGUAGUGAUAUCAGAAGACUCAUUAUAAGUUAAACCAGAGAUUAACCACAUGAAAAAGACAAAGAAUUCUAAGAGUGGACUUAAACGUUUAUCUAUUAUAAGUGCUAACAGUUAGUUUACUUAACUAGUUUUAUGUAAGAUUUCCGCAAUGGAUACAAUAUAGAAUUUUAAAUUUACUCAUCACUUGUAAUUUUUGUUGGCAAAACUUUUAUACUACACGUUGAUUUUUACAACAUUGAUCCUAUCAAUACUUAUUUUCAACUCUUUCUUCAACUUUGACUGACAAAUUUUCCCCUAAAACACUCAGAUUCCAAUGAUGUUUCUUGUUGGCUUCCUAUGAUCAUAAUAACAUUUUUCCAAAACACUCGUAUUCGUAUUGAUGUUUUUUUGUUGACACAUGCAUCACUAACAACAUUUUUCCACUCCGUAUUGCACACCACUUAAGCCUAGUUACUACACCAAUUCACUAGUUUUCGGUUAGGGUUCAUAAUGUAUCUCAUUUACAAUGUCAAUGCAUUUGUAAUAGUGUCCAGUGAUUGUCAUAAUCAUAAUAAUGAUGUAGAGAUGACAUCAAAUAGAAAUCAUUUUUGAUAGUAUUCUCACCAUUAAGAUUUUCACUACACAUUGAGCAUUUUUCAACAAAAUUAACAAAAGUUAGAUGUAAUCUCUAAAUCGAAGUAGUAUCUUUGUGCUAUAGUGGGAAAUUUAAGUUUGAAGGAUUAUUUUUACCAUAAAUCCACAUGUUUGUGAUCUUAAACCUCGUAAGUUAAGGAGGGAAAUCAUAGAUAUUUUUAAAAUGAUGAUUUUUUUUUUAGCUAUGGUUGAAAUCAAACAUUGGUAUCUCUAUCUUUUGUAUUAAAAAUGAAACAAUCUUUGUUAUCUUGGGACAUAUUACUUUCAUAGAGAUAUUUAGUUUUCAAAAGUUAGAGUCAAAAGUUUAUUUUCUUAUUAAAAUAAGCUCCAAACAAAUUUUUCUAACAAUUGUUUUACAAUUAGACCGGACGAAUCCCUUAACCGCUUAUAUUUUUAAACUUAAUAAUCUUAUUCCAACCAACAAUAUGUAUGGAGCAAUCCAAUUUCCCAUGUCAAACAAAAUUUGUCACAAACUUAUCAAAGGUAUCGCAAGCGUAUAAAGGAAACUAACAAAUUUGCAUACAAUAAGUAGUUAUAGAUGUAAGAACGGCCUUGACAAGAGUAACUCCACAUGACUUGUUCAACCGUCUAUAUUUCCAAGAAACAAGCUUUGAGGUUACGUUAUCAUAGACUUCUAAGAAAUCUGCUUUCUAUGUGCAUUCAACUAAGUUCACAGUCAUGUUGGCAUUCAAUGGCGGCGUUCAUAGAAGAAACAAUUGCGUGAAAAGUAGUGAACGGAACCACUAUCGCAUGAGAGAUCAAUAAUUGAAAUUUAAAAUUUUCAUCAAAAUCGGUUUAGAACCAAAUCCAAACUAAUUUAAACUUUCAUCAAAAUCGGUUUUCUGAAAUAAUGGUUUGAUUUUUUAACCUUAAUUUAAGAGAAUGAAACGUCAAAGAGCAUUUUAAAUCUAAAUACAUGACACACAUAUAGCAACAUGUAAUUCGAUGAGUAUAUCUUUAAUAUCUAUAAUUUAAAAGCUCAAAAUAAACAUUCAGUCUUAGACAAAUACAAGUCAUGAUGACAAUUUCAUACCACAUAAUUCCUCCAUAGUCUUUAGACGAUGGGAAAAGAUACACACAUGUAAUUAUUCAUGAACACAACAUGUGCUUCAAUAUAAUACAUAUAAUCAUGAGGUACAAAUUAAAACACAAAUUAACAAACACAUUUAAUAAGAAUAUAGUACAUAGAUUUCAUGAACUUUUUAAGGUAGUUAUGGCUUAGGCACAGUUGGAACAGUAAGCAACUAUGGCUUUGGAAUUGUUGGCAAUGUAGGAAGAGUAGGUAGUGUUGGAAGAGUAGGUAGUGUUGGUAGAGUAGGAAGUGUUGGUAGUGUUGGUAGAGUAGGAAGUGUUGGUAGAGUAAGUUUGGAAACUUGAUGUAUGUUUUGAAGGUUACGUGCUCCUUCAACAUUUGUCAAUGAAGAAAAAGUUAUGAGAAGAAGAAGUGGUAUAAUGAAUGGCAAAACAUUCAUGGAAGCCAUUUUUUUUUAAAACUAGAAAGAUUAGUAUUAUGUCUAUAUGAUGACAGUUUUGAUGUGUUUGAGGUAAUGGUUUACUAUAUGUCUUGUGGCCUUUUAUAGACAAAAGUUUUGUGUAUCAUGGGAUUUGUG
Molecule: long non-coding RNA, 13478 nt
Filed under: Lathyrus oleraceus (garden pea)
Lineage: Eukaryota; Viridiplantae; Streptophyta; Magnoliopsida; Fabales; Fabaceae
Description: Pisum sativum (pea) long non-coding RNA (PSAT_LNC004044)
Source: RNAcentral